Molecule: long non-coding RNA, 600 nt
Organism: Canis lupus familiaris (dog)
Lineage: Eukaryota; Metazoa; Chordata; Mammalia; Carnivora; Canidae
Exons: 3
Source: RefSeq, a predicted model, not a curated record
UCAACCACUGAGCCACCCAGAAAGCUUUAUUUUUCCAAGAGUAAAUGAACUUGGAGACCAAUGGUAUAUAUCCUGUCUGGAAUUAAACUCCAUGAAAUUUGGUUCAUUAAUAAAGUGAAUGACCUUAUUGGCAAAUAUGCUGCUGUUGAAGAACUCUGGUGUUUCUCAUUUAGAUUCUACUUGUGCACAGUAAAGAAGAAUUCAAUUACCUGAUACAGUAUUUAUUUAGAAAAUUUGCAUCCAUGUGAAUAAGUAUUAAUGGAAUAUGAUUUCCUUUUUCUAUUGCCUUCAACUGAUUUCAAGAGGAGAUUAAUGUUCUAAUAAGUCUGAAAACUUUCCCUCUUUAUUUAUAUUUUCUGAAAUAACUUUUAUGACAUAAAACUUAUUCUGUAAGAAUUUGGAAAAUUCACCAGUAAACGCAUCUCAAGUUUGAAGGUGCUUGAAGGUGAGAAAAAGGACAUAUUUUUGUUUAGUAUUUUAAAUUCCUUGUUGAUUAUUGGUCUUUCCUUUUGUUUAUGUUGACUUGGUAUAUAUUUUUCAUCAUUGCAUUCUACAAAUACUGAAUGUGUGCUGUUAAGCACUGUUCUAGUCUCUAGAUAA